GGCGUCAGGUACGGGUUCACCAAGCCACCCCGCCCACCUCAGGACGCAGCUGCCGGUCCAGCUGCUCCCGCGGGCCCACAGCGCGCUGUGGAAAGGAGCGGACAGGCCAGAGGCUCCCUCGGGCCUACAAGUCUAGGCUAGGCAGUGUUUCCGAGUCCCAGACGGAGCGACGGGGCCGGCCGCAGCCUCAGCCACGCGUCCCUCGGCGGCGGGCAGGCUCCUCUUGGCCUGCAGCCUUACUUUCAUGCCCUUCUUCACAGUCUCCUGGGAGAUUAAGAUGAGUGACCUAGAGGAGAAGGAUGUUGAUGAAUUCAGCUCCAGUGGUUUUAAGUGCCCAACAUGCUUUGCAGUGCAAGGAAGGAAAUGCAAUACAGAACUCAAAUGGUGUGCAGCAGAUAAAAUAAAGUGUAUUGAAUUCUCUGGCAUCAUAAACACAGUUUCUUGCAGGUAUUCGUGACGUAGCCAUUGAAAUGAGGAGAUGCAUACAAGCAGACCUAUGCAAAGAGAUAACUUCUUAGAUCGGUUUUCCAAUUGCUAACAAGAGUAGAAAUUGCAAAUCAGCCAUCAGAAAUGGGGCCAGAAUCAGACCCCCAUCUCCCAUCUUCUUUGUUCUUUUCCUGGGGAGGGUACUUCAUGGAGCUCUGGCAAGAGCCUAGCCACUUCCAUUUAUGAAUUAAACCUGCAUUUUUUUGUUAA
This is a long non-coding RNA of Pan troglodytes (chimpanzee), 696 nucleotides long. RefSeq lists it as uncharacterized. The transcript is spliced from 4 exons. The record is from RefSeq and is a predicted model, not a curated record. Lineage: Eukaryota; Metazoa; Chordata; Mammalia; Primates; Hominidae.